Oncorhynchus keta (chum salmon) is the source of this 384-nucleotide long non-coding RNA. RefSeq lists it as uncharacterized. NCBI's taxonomy places the organism in Eukaryota, Metazoa, Chordata, Actinopteri, Salmoniformes, Salmonidae. The record is from RefSeq and is a predicted model, not a curated record. The transcript is spliced from 3 exons.
UGAGAUGGUAGAGGUGAGACAGGAACAGACACAUGAGGAGGUCUGAGAUGAUAGAGGUGAGACAGGAACAGACACAUGAGGAGGUCUGAGAUGGUAGAGGUGAGACAGGAACAGACACAUGAGGAGGUCUGAGAUGGUAGAGGUGAGACAGGAACAGACACAUGAGGAGGUCUGAGAUGGUAGAGGUGAGACAGGAACAGACACAUGAGGAGGUCUGAGAUGGUAGAGGUGAGACAGGAACAGACACAUGAGGAGGUCUGAGAUGAUAGAGGUGAGACAGGAACAGACACAUGAGGAGGUCUGAGAUGGUAGAGGUGAGACAGGAACAGACACAUGAGGAGGUCUGAGAUGGUAGAGGUGAGACAGGAACAGACACAUGAGGAG